This 234-nucleotide ribosomal RNA is filed under the name Triticum aestivum (bread wheat). RNAcentral's name for it is "partial small subunit ribosomal RNA". The record is from RNAcentral. Lineage: Eukaryota; Viridiplantae; Streptophyta; Magnoliopsida; Poales; Poaceae.
AUGGAGCAAGGGAGGCGAAGCUCUUGGAGGCUGGAGGUGCCAUGGACCUCGGGUGCACGAGGAGGAGCAGGGAAAGGAGGUCGGGCGGGCGACGUGCUUGUGCAGCAACGACCAAGCCAAGGUCGCAGACGGCGGAGGUUCGGCGCUGGAGAAAUAGGAAGGCCACGGCAGAGGAACCGGUCUCCGGCGACGAGGUGCAGCAGCGGCAGCGGCCAUGGAGGACGGCAGCGUUGA